Molecule: ribosomal RNA, 423 nt
Filed under: uncultured bacterium
Lineage: Bacteria
Description: partial 16S ribosomal RNA
Rfam family: Bacterial small subunit ribosomal RNA
Source: RNAcentral
AUAUUGGACAAUGGGCGAAAGCCUGAUCCAGCCAUGCCGCGUGUGUGAAGAAGGUCUUNACUUUGNANAGCACUUUAUGUCGGUANGCAGGGCAGUACGUUAAUACCUACCUGUUUUGACGGUACCGACAGAAUAAGCACCGGCUAACUUCUUCCUAGCAUCCGCCGUAAUACGAAGGGUGCAAGCGUUAAUCGGAAUUACUGGGCGUAAAGCGGGCGUAGGUGGUUUGUUAAGUUGGAAGUGAAAGCCCCGGGCUGAACCUGGGAACUGCUUUCAAAACUGGCAAGCUAGAGGAUGGCAGAGGGUGGUGGAAUUUCCUGUGUAGCGGUGAAAUGCGUAGAUAUAGGAAGGAACACCAGUGGCGAAGGCGACCACCUGGGCUAAUAAUGACGCUGAGGUGCGAAAGCGUGGGGAGCAAACAGG